This is a long non-coding RNA of Ostrinia furnacalis (Asian corn borer), 344 nucleotides long. RefSeq lists it as uncharacterized. Lineage: Eukaryota; Metazoa; Arthropoda; Insecta; Lepidoptera; Crambidae. The transcript is spliced from 2 exons. The record is from RefSeq and is a predicted model, not a curated record.
CCGCGAGCCAGUUCUCCGGUAUCGUUUGAAGGGAGGGUACGCUGCGUUCCCGUCGGCUCCGAGCCUACUUUUACGUUGAUCCUUUGAAAACCGGUUGGAAAGUGCCCGAGGUGUGGCGUGGGCGAUUAUAGUGCCGCGUUCAACCGUAAAACGGUCUCUUUACAGUACAAAAUAUACUUUUGGUGUUACAAUUUAACUUUGGAAGUAAAGUGAGUGAGUGAGUCACUUUGAUCAGCGGUCCCGCUAUCUUGGAGUUGGAAUCGAGAGCGAGAGCGGAGAUAAACGACGCGCGUGCGAGCGGGACGGCGACAGUGUCCAGUUCAAAACCAGUAUAGGUUUUUUGG